This 774-nucleotide ribosomal RNA is filed under the name uncultured Neocallimastigales. Its description in RNAcentral is "partial large subunit ribosomal RNA". It matches the Rfam family "Eukaryotic large subunit ribosomal RNA", at positions 26 to 636 of the family's 3401-position model. The record is from RNAcentral. Lineage: Eukaryota; Fungi; Neocallimastigomycota; Neocallimastigomycetes; Neocallimastigales.
CGCAUCUGUGCAUGCAGCAUAUCAAUAAGCGGAGGAAAAGAAACUAACAAGGAUUCCCCUAGUAACGGCGAGUGAAGCGGGAAGAGCUCAAAUUUGAAAUCUUAAAGGGUUUCCCUUUACGAAUUGUAGUUUAAAGAAGUGUUUUCUGUUGAGGUUUUGGUAAAAGUUCUUUGGAAUAGGACAUCAUAGAGGGUGAGAAUCCCGUAUUUGACCUUUACUUUCAACUUUGUGAUACACUUUCAAAGAGUCGGAUUGUUUGGGAAUGCAGUCCAAAAUGGGUGGUAAAUUUCAUCUAAAGCUAAAUAUUGGCGAGAGACCGAUAGCGAACAAGUACCAGUGAGGGAAAGAUGAAAAGAACUUUGAAAAGAGAGUUAAACAGUACGUGAAAUUGUCAAAAGGGAAGCGUUUGACACCAGUGUUGUUUUUCUGAAAAUCAAUUAAAGAACUGUUUAUGCUAAGUUGUUUAGACUUUAUCAGCUAACUGUUUAGUUUUGAGCUUUUCUUUAAUGCACUUUUCAGUUAACAAGUCAACAUCAAUUUCUUUUGCUGUAAAAAAGCUUGAGGAAGGUGGCUUGAGAUUCGUCUUAAGUGUUUAUAGCCUCUUGCCUAUGCAGUCGGAGAGAUUGAGGUCUGCAGCGUAGAUCCUUCGGGGCUAAAUGCAUUUGUGCUAAGUUAUAGCAUUUUAUAGACAACUUGUUGACUAUGAUUUGUCUUGUAGCUUACUCGCUUAUGCUAUUUUACCUACGCUUAGGAUGUUGACAGCAGUAUAGACUG